CAACCAGGUGUGAGCCCAGGGCACAGAGAGCUGGGGAGGGUGUCUGUGUCUGUAACACUUCCCUGUCCUCUCUCACAGAUGGAGUCCAAGAGGGAUAGGAAGGAGAGGACGAGAGCCCCAGUAGUCAAGAAUAAUAAGGUGCAUCCUAGCUGAGCCCGGGGCUCUGUGGGGUUAAGACCAGUGGAAGGGACAAGAGUCUCCUGUGCAGAGUGACUAUUUUGGGUGCAGGUGCAGUGGGGUGCUUUUAAUUGUAGCUCUGCGAACAUCAUGGGAAGGCAGUUCAGGGUAGAGCCCUGGGGUGUGGGAGAUGCGAGAAGCAGAGACUCGCCAUCACGGCAGAGUGUGAUGAUAACUUUUGUUUUUCCUUCUUGCGUUGUGUUUGGCCCCAAGAGAAAAGAAUUGUGUGUGUGUGUGUGUGUGUGUUAAUGCCAGGCAAGACCUGUCCAGCUCACCCUCUCUCUCUUUUUACUGCCUCCUACCAUAGGCCAUGGGCAGGAGAAGUGCACACUGAUCCCCAAAGGCUUGGUAUCCAGAGCCUGCACCGUCUGGCGGGAGGGAAGAGAAUAAUACCAGGUCCUGGAGGCGACAGUGGGGGAGGUGGGGUGACUGGCCACGCAGCCCGUUGGCUCUGUCUCUUUUCAGCGCGUGGGGCUGCUCUAGAGCAUGUGAGAGACAGAGGGAGGCCGAGCUCCCGUGCACUAGUCGAGCUGUGGGCAGGGCUGCCUCGCUCCUCGGUUAUUUCCUGCGCUUGCAGAUGAAUCUCCCAGGAGCCCCAGGCAGAGGAGAAGCUGGAAGAAGUGGAGCUGAGCAGCCUGGACAUCCCGGUAAGCAGAGACGAACAGUCCUGAGCUUUCUGCAUUUCCCAGCACUGGGUGUGAGUCGGCGGUGACGGCACUCUCUUCCUCAGCUCUUCCCAGGGGAAAGUAGUCAUGAGGACGGAGUCCAGCCCCGAGGUGAGAUGGAAAGUGAGUGAGAGCAGUGACAGCGUGAAUCCUGUUGAUGCCAGGCAAGGUCUGUCCAGCUGGGAGCGAAGCAGCUGUCGCUGUCAGUGAGGUAAGUGUCUGGUUUGGUGAGGGCUCUGGUCACAGCCCCCUGGCUCCAGGCAGGGACUUCCCAUUAGCUGGGUGUGGGUUUCCUGACUAGCUGUGGCUUC
Molecule: long non-coding RNA, 1153 nt
Organism: Dermochelys coriacea (leatherback sea turtle)
Lineage: Eukaryota; Metazoa; Chordata; Testudines; Dermochelyidae
Exons: 3
Source: RefSeq, a predicted model, not a curated record